GAAGAAGCGAUGAAAGAGAGAGUACUUUCAGACUUUGCCGAUAGCGAGCCGGGGGUGGUGGAAGCCUGGUGGAGAAGCUGAGAAGAAAAUCACUCUUGAGCUGGAUUAUGGAUAUGUACAUGAUCCCGGUCACACUGCCGUUACUAAGUGUCUAAGCGGCAAUUGUAUUGUACGAUUGCAAGUAGGGUGGUACCGCGAGAAUAUCCUCGUCCCUUUU
Molecule: non-coding RNA, 217 nt
Filed under: Sporosarcina newyorkensis
Lineage: Bacteria; Bacillati; Bacillota; Bacilli; Caryophanales; Caryophanaceae
Description: T-box sequence
Rfam family: T-box leader
About the family: Uncharged tRNA acts as the effector for transcription antitermination of genes in the T-box leader family. T-boxes are found upstream of many aminoacyl-tRNA synthetase genes and some amino acid biosynthetic genes usually in Gram-positive bacteria.
Source: RNAcentral